UACGUAGGGUGCAAGCGUUAAUCGGAAUUACUGGGCGUAAAGCGUGCGCAGGCGGUUGUGCAAGACAGAUGUGAAAUCCCCGGGCUUAACCUGGGAAUUGCAUUUGUGACUGCACGGCUAGAAUCUGGCAGAGGGGGGUAGAAUUCCACGUGUAGCAGUGAAAUGCGUAGAGAUGUGGAGGAAUACCGAUGGCGAAGGCAGCCCCCUGGGCUAAGAUUGACGCUCAUGCACGAAAGCGUGGGGAGCAAACAGG
RNAcentral lists this ribosomal RNA (253 nucleotides) under uncultured bacterium. RNAcentral describes it as "partial 16S ribosomal RNA". It matches the Rfam family "Bacterial small subunit ribosomal RNA", at positions 524 to 776 of the family's 1533-position model. The record is from RNAcentral.